AUGAUGAACACAAAGGGAAAGAGGAGGCACGCAGUAUGUGUGCUCUAGGCCUUUUAGAAAACACGGAGUUGCUCCUUUGGGCAUGUAUAUGUGAAUCUAUGAGAAAGAUGAUAUUGCAGACAUCAAAGGAAUGGGUACUUUUUGAAAAGGAAUGCCCCACGAGUGUUAUUACGGCAGAACUGGAAGGGUCUACAGUGUUCCCCAGCAUGCUGUUGGCAUUGUUGUAAACAAGUUAAGGGCAAGAUUCUUGCCCAGAGAAUAAAUGGGUGUACUGAACACAUUAAGCACUCUAAGAGCUGAGAUAACUUCUUGAAAUGUGUGAAGGAAAAUGAGCAUAAAAAGGAAGAAGCCAAAGAGAAAGGGACCUGGGUUCCACUGAAGGACCAGCCAGCUCCACCCAGAGAAGCACACUCUGUGAGAACCAAUGGGAAGGAGCCUGAGCUGCUGGAACCUAUUCCCUAUGAGUUCAUGGCAUAA
Molecule: long non-coding RNA, 477 nt
Filed under: Homo sapiens (human)
Lineage: Eukaryota; Metazoa; Chordata; Mammalia; Primates; Hominidae
Description: non-protein coding lnc-MAST4-3:1
Source: RNAcentral